Molecule: long non-coding RNA, 418 nt
Organism: Gavialis gangeticus (Gharial)
Lineage: Eukaryota; Metazoa; Chordata; Crocodylia; Gavialidae
Exons: 3
Source: RefSeq, a predicted model, not a curated record
GAGAACAGAAUGAGAUACCAUAUCGAAGGCCUUCUUAAAGUCUAGGUAGAUGACAUCUACCUCGUCUCCUGCAUCUACACAUUUUGUGAUCUGGGUAUUUUGACUUCCUUGCUGUAAGUUGAGGGUAUUCUUUUGGGAUUAUUUUAGGUGAGGAUGUUAAUUUUUGUUAACUUCUCCCUUCUGCUCUUGUGCGUUAUGGGUGUAGCUUUGUUUUGUAUGAAUCCGUAGAAGCAGAGAAAAGGUGGUAGAAAAGAUGUCCAUAACCUGUGGAACUGGAUAAAACAAGUAGGGUAGGGAAUCAAACAUAGAUUUCUGUAUUAGUAGAUGGAUGAUAGCUGAGUCCAUGUAAGUUGAUGAAACUACACAGAGGGAAACAAGAAGCAGCAGCAGUGAACAUUUAAAUAAAAGCCAAAGCAAC